UUUCAAAUUCAAGAGUUCUUGCACAUAUGGAGAUCCAUGGAUGAAACAAGCCUCAAGGGUGUUUAGUAAAGCUAUUAGGAGCCUUUUUGGUGGAACUUGAAGCCAUAAAUCAUCAAGAUUUUCAAAUCUUCAUCUUUGUUUCUUUGCAAAAAUUAUAUUGAUACUUGAUGGUGUCGAGAAACGAACCGCGAACAAGGAAUCGAAUAGAGAUUUGCACGGAACGCAAAUCUGUGAGUUCAUGUUUUCCCCUUUUACUUUGA
This 260-nucleotide long non-coding RNA is filed under the name Helianthus annuus (common sunflower). RNAcentral describes it as "sRNA HanXRQr2_Chr06g0243231". The record is from RNAcentral. Lineage: Eukaryota; Viridiplantae; Streptophyta; Magnoliopsida; Asterales; Asteraceae.